GAGUUUGAUCCUGGCUCAGGACGAACGCUGGCGGCGUGCUUAACACAUGCAAGUCGAGCGGAAAGGCCCUUCGGGGUACUCGAGCGGCGAACGGGUGAGUAACACGUGAGUAACCUGCCCUAGGCUUUGGGAUAACCCUCGGAAACGGGGGCUAAUACCGGAUAUGACUGCUGGUCGCAUGACUGGUGGUGGAAAGUUUUUCGGCCUGGGAUGGACUCGCGGCCUAUCAGCUUGUUGGUGGGGUAAUGGCCUACCAAGGCGACGACGGGUAGCCGGCCUGAGAGGGCGACCGGCCACACUGGGACUGAGACACGGCCCAGACUCCUACGGGAGGCAGCAGUGGGGAAUAUUGCACAAUGGGCGGAAGCCUGAUGCAGCGACGCCGCGUGAGGGAUGACGGCCUUCGGUUGUAAACCGUCUUUCUAGCAGGACGAAGCGAGAGUGACGGUACCUGCAGAAGAAGCACCGGCCAACUACGUGCCAGCAGCCGCCGCCGU
This 497-nucleotide ribosomal RNA is filed under the name uncultured bacterium. RNAcentral describes it as "bacterial SSU rRNA". It matches the Rfam family "Bacterial small subunit ribosomal RNA", at positions 9 to 524 of the family's 1533-position model. The record is from RNAcentral.